This 1146-nucleotide ribosomal RNA is filed under the name Halorubrum sp. RNAcentral describes it as "bacterial SSU rRNA". It matches the Rfam family "Archaeal small subunit ribosomal RNA", at positions 156 to 1300 of the family's 1478-position model. The record is from RNAcentral. Lineage: Archaea; Methanobacteriati; Methanobacteriota; Halobacteria; Halobacteriales; Haloferacaceae.
AUACCACAGUCCACCUGGAAUGAGGACUGUGCCAAACGCUCCGGCGCCGAAGGAUGUGGCUGCGGCCGAUUAGGUAGACGGUGGGGUAACGGCCCACCGUGCCAAUAAUCGGUACGGGUCAUGAGAGUGAGAACCCGGAGACGGAAUCUGAGACAAGAUUCCGGGCCCUACGGGGCGCAGCAGGCGCGAAACCUUUACACUGCACGACAGUGCGAUAAGGGAAUCCCAAGUGCGCAGGCAUAGAGCCUGCGCUUUUGUCCACCGUAGGGAGGUGGACGAAUAAGGGCUGGGCAAGACCGGUGCCAGCCGCCGCGGUAAUACCGGCAGCCCGAGUGAUGGCCGAUCUUAUUGGGCCUAAAGCGUCCGUAGCUGGCCGCACAAGUCUAUCGGAAAAUCCACCCGCUCAACGGGUGGGCGUCCGGUAGAAACUGUGUGGCUUGGGACCGGAAGGCGCGACGGGUACGUCCGGGGUAGGAGUGAAAUCCCGUAAUCCUGGACGGACCGCCGAUGGCGAAAGCACGUCGCGAAGACGGAUCCGACAGUGAGGGACGAAAGCUAGGGUCUCGAACCGGAUUAGAUACCCGGGUAGUCCUAGCCGUAAACAAUGCCUGCUAGGUGUGGCUCCCACUACGAGUGGGUGCUGUGCCGUAGGGAAGCCGCUAAGCAGGCCGCCUGGGAAGUACGUCCGCAAGGAUGAAACUUAAAGGAAUUGGCGGGGGAGCACUACAACCGGAGGAGCCUGCGGUUUAAUUGGACUCAACGCCGGACAUCUCACCAGCAUCGACUGUAGUAAUGACGAUCAGGUUGAUGACCUUAUCCGAGCUUCAGAGAGGAGGUGCAUGGCCGCCGUCAGCUCGUACCGUGAGGCGUCCUGUUAAGUCAGGCAACGAGCGAGACCCGCAUCCUUACUUGCCAGCAGCACUGCGAAGUGGCUGGGGACAGUAGGGAGACCGCCGUGGCCAACACGGAGGAAGGAACGGGCAACGGUAGGUCAGUAUGCCCCGAAUGUGCUGGGCAACACGCGGGCUACAAUGGUCGAGACAAAGGGUUCCUACUCCGAAAGGAGACGGUAAUCUCAGAAACUCGAUCGUAGUUCGGAUUGUGGGCUGCAACUCGCCCACAUGAAGCUGGAUUCGGUAGUAAUCG